Molecule: ribosomal RNA, 207 nt
Filed under: Aureoumbra lagunensis
Lineage: Eukaryota; Pelagophyceae; Sarcinochrysidales; Sarcinochrysidaceae
Description: partial Bacterial large subunit ribosomal RNA
Rfam family: Bacterial large subunit ribosomal RNA
Source: RNAcentral
AGUGGUUCCAAGAAAAGCCUCUAAGCUUCAGGUAAAAAGAAACCGUACUCCAAACCGACACAGGUGAUCAGGUAGAGAAUACCAAGGCGCUUGAGAGAACUCGGGUGAAGGAACUAGGCAAAAUGGCACCGUAACUUCGGGAGAAGGUGCGCCGGUGAGGGUGAAGGACUUGCUCCGUAAGCUCAUGCCGGUCGAAGAUACCAGGCC